This is a long non-coding RNA of Cornus florida, 7004 nucleotides long. RefSeq lists it as uncharacterized. The record is from RefSeq and is a predicted model, not a curated record. The transcript is spliced from 4 exons. NCBI's taxonomy places the organism in Eukaryota, Viridiplantae, Streptophyta, Magnoliopsida, Cornales, Cornaceae.
UAUACUGGACAAAAAGAAAAGAAAAAAAAGAAAAAACCCAACUUAUAUCAAUUUCUUCCCAAAAGAAGCUUCAAUGAGUGUGGAAAGAGAGAGACCCGAAUCUCUCAUCUAUCAAUUUCUUUGGAUGAACCGUGUUGAUGGUAGUAAUUUGAGGAAAGAAAGCUUGGUUUCCUAAACUCAUCUUUCUCAGAUUGGACUCCCGAUGGUGUCGAUCAUUCCGUAAACGACCAGCGAAGAGGUUAGGGUUUUCAACCAGCGACCAAAAAUUGAAGUUGAAUCGAGCCACCAUGGACGACGGUACGUACCUUGUUACAGUUGCCUCUCAUCCUUUCUAUUUUGUGCUAACCAUAAGCUAAACCCCGAGGGGGUGGACCGACAAGUGCUGGUACGUCCACAACCUCCUCAAGUACGAGUUCGAUCUCCAAUUCGACAUCCCCAUCACCUACCCUUCCACUGCCCCCGAACUUGAAUUGCCCCAACUGGAUGGCAAGACCCACAAGAUUUUGUUAGAUGUCUAGAGGAAGGAAGAUUUGCUUGACUGUGCAUUUCAAACCGCUCCGGGCUAAGAACUGUGAUUUAGAGAAAAGAUAGCAGAAGGAAGAAAGUCUUUGCAGGAACUUACUCCCUGGUGCUACAAGGUAUUACUCGUUCGCCAUAACUUAGAUGUUAUGCAUAUUGAGAAAAAUGUUUGUAAGAGUAUUAUUGGCACCUUAUUGAACAUAAAAGGAAAAUCAAAGGAUGGACUCAAGUCUCGUAUGGAUUUGGAGGAAAUGGGCAUCAGGGGGGAUUUGCACCCACAAGAUUCAAAAGGGAAACAUUUCUUGCCACCAGCACCACAUACACUAAAGAAGGAAGAAAAACAGCUUUUAUAGAAGAACUACAAGGUUUACAAUGUGAGUUGUUACAUUGGAAAGGGUCAGGUGUAGUUGUUGCCAAGGCUGAGAUUGCAACAACGGAUCCCAAUGCAUUAAAAGAUCAUUUUCCAAUUGGUCCAGAUUGUUGGAAAGUAUGGAUUGAUGAUAUAUUGGUCAGCGAGUGUCCUUUGUACCGAGCAAGCCUAAAUGGAAAUUUUUAUCUUCAUGAUGCUAACACAAGCUCAGUUGUAUGGCUUAAGAAAUAUGUGAAAAUUAUAAAGGUCAAUUAGUCAUUCACUAACUUAUUAUUAUUAUUUUUUAAAUUAGUCAUACGAUCUGAUUUUUUAUAUAUUUGUUGGCAUUUCAUUUUUGAAAUAUUUUUUCUGACAAGAUUGAUUAUCACCAGUUCAUUAGGAGCAGAAUUUCUAUGAUUCUAUUCCACAACAAAGGUCAAAUACUAUGCUUCUUCAUUUUCAUUAUCACCAUGGAAAUACAUUAUAUGCUUAAAAAGUUAAUUAUUUUAGAUGGUCACGUGCCUUAAGUGGCCAAUUAUUAUUAUUAUUGUGCAUAAAUUGAGGUUGGGAAAUUGUUGCGGAUGGAGUUUGGUUUUCAUUCAUUGCUUACUACGGUGUAUUGGGGGUCACGUGCCUUAAGUGACCAUUUUAUUUAUUAUUACUGUGCAUAAAUAUAUGGAGGGAUUGAUGUUGUGAUCCAAACUAGGUAGUUCCAAGGGACAAGCUGAUAUGGGUUGUAGAAUGAAGCAAUCAUUAUUUUACUUUGACACCUUAAGAUUCUUCAUAUUGCAUAAUCAACAAGAAAAUACAUAUUCUCUACCAUUCGAAAGAAAAAGAAAAUGCAAUGCUCUUAAAUCUAGUAAAAAAGAAAGAAGAAGAAGAUAAAACUGUUAAUCACAUUGGAAAAAAAUAAGUUUGGUAGGCAAUUUAGGAGCAGCUCGGAAACUGAGCUGUCAAGUAUUGUAAACUUAUAUCCAAAAGUUUUUGUUCGUGUUUCAUAAUAUCUGAAAUUUUACAACAUUGUCUUUUAAAACACCAAGAAUACAUACAAUAUAAGGUACAUAAUUUAGGAUUUCAUACCACAAUGAACUGAUACAAUGAAAAUAUCUAUCAGAGGAAAAAAAAAAAAAAGGAGGAUGGGGAAAGACACAAAAACAAGGACAAUGAGCAAUAUGAGAACAGGUGCUCCUAAGCUGAAGUUCUUCAUGAUCUGUCUCUGUGUGAUUGUGUGGUAAUUCUUGAUGCUAAGUGGUAUCACUAGUGAUGGCUAUAUAUAGGGGUUGCUUUUUCAAAUUGCCUGUGCUCUCUACAAAAUUAUGGUUCAACCUUGGAUAAGUAGUCAAUUUUAAUUAUAAUAUAGGUCUUGUGGAUGGGCAGUUUGGUUGUUUUGGAUGAAACUUGGAAUUAUUUUAUUGGCACUUGCAGGAAAUGGACAAAAUAGACUUCAAUUUGCAAUUACCAAGAUAUGUUCUAUGGGUUGAUAAGUUAAAAUAGUAUUCAAGAUCUCAAUACUUAGUUCAACUGUUCUUAGAAGUUUCAUAUAUACUUCCAAGAUAAUAAAUUGCGUCACACAUUUUUCCAAUUCAUUAGUGUGGAGGGAAAAAUCGCCCUCCAAUGAAAGUCACCCACGUGGCCACAAUAGAAGCUCUGUUUUUAUUUUCAUUAAUGGGCCACAAGAAUCUUGCUCUGUUCAAGCCCAGUAAAGAUGUCAAGAGCCCAUGGUCACUGUUGUUGAAUUUUCGGCCAUUGGCCGAGUCGUCUGGACCAAGCUGCAUUCAGCCCAGCUUCAUUAAGGAUGGACAACUCCUGUUAGGCAAAUGAUUCAACAAAGAAGGCAAGUUCUAUGAAAGGAAAAUUUUGCAUGGAAAGAAUUGUAAUAAGGAAAGAACUCUAAUUGUAAAGAAUGUUGUGUAUGGAAUGAAUUGAAGGACAAGCAAGGCGAGUCCUACAAUAAUUCUACCACCUUUUUCCAUAUAAAUAGAGGCCUAAACCUCCAAUAAAGCCAUCGAGCAAUUUACACUUGUCUCUGAGUAUUAUUAUUGCUUGUUCUCAGUGAGCUGUAUUUUUCUUUUUAUUUCUUUUAAAUAGAGAGAAAUUUUGCACCUACACUUUGGCGCCGUCUGUGGGAAAUGUAUAGAAAUAUACUCUCACUUUUGUUUCAAAUGGUUUCUAUUACUACGAUCAAGGACGUCAAACGGAGAAUCUGUAAUAGCGGUUGGAGUUGAUGCAAAAGAUGUGAGAGUAAUUCUUGCAUCAGUUUGAAACGCUUCGUCAGGUGAACGAAGCCAGUGUAGCUCAGAUUGCAUUGCUUCAACAACAAAACGAUACCCUUCAAACAACAAUGGCUCAGUUGAAAUCACAGCCGCCACCAGUUGAUGUGACCGUAACCCCCACAAACCAAAAGGCUCCUCCAAUUAUCAACCCUCAGGUCAAUGGCACAUAGCCUAAUGAGGCUCGGCCCAACGAAGUUCCGCAAGAGCAGAGGACAAGGUCCGAGGCAGUUGCUUCGGAUAAUCUUCCUCAUCGCACACAGGAUGAACAAGCCGAGUCCAGCCGUAAGCUUAUGGUAUAGUCCAAUGGCAUUCCAGAUAGCUCAAGCGUAUAGGAGGCCUUUGACGAAAGAAGACUCCUGAGGAUUCAGACACCCGCCUAGAUGGCCAGAGAGCAUAAGAACUCGUUAGUGAAGACUCCAUUCACUGAUGAUAUAUAUAUUGUCAAAAGACCGAAGAAGUUCUCUAUGCCUUCCUUUACCCAAUUUGAUGGCAUAGGGAUCCUUCUCGUCACCUCGAUCAUUACGCACAAAAGAUGGCUCUAGAUGAUCACAACGAUCCGUUCAUGUGUAAGGUUUUUCCGACCAGCCUGACAGGAGCUGUGUUGGAGUGGUUCAGAAACAGGCCACACAAGUCUAUCCCGGACUACGAAACUCUUUGCACUAUGUUCCUAGCAUAGUACUACGGAAACAAGAAGCAAAAGAAGAGUAUCGCUAGCCUUUUUACCAUAAGGCAAGAGAAAGGAGAAACGUUGCAAGAUUUCUUAUCCAAAUUUAACAUGGAGGCCUCGAAAAUAGCAGAUUGCCAUCUUGCGACUGCAAUAGAAACAUUCAAGCUUGCAAUGAUUCAGGGAACCAAGUUCCACACUUCCUUAGUUAAAUAUUCCCCUCCGAAUAUGCAAACUCUCAAUGCUAAGGCAUAGAUCUACAUCCAACUUGAGGAGAAUGUAGCCCACUGAGUGCAGUAUGACACCCUCGUUACAGUAGAGAAUAAGCCAUAGGAAAGGGCGCCAAAUUUAAAAAGUCAGAAAAGCCAGCACGCCUUAGCACCGGCCAUUCAGGUACCCGAGAAGAAGUAAAGGAUAGAGGAAAGGUUCACACCUUUUUACACCACCUUGGCUUGGCUGUUCCAAGAAAAUAAGAUGAAAUUCAUAACCCCUUAGCCCAUGAAGCAACCCUUGGAGCAAAGGGAUAAGAUUAAGCACUGCGCCUACCAUGGAGAUUACGGGCAUACAACUAAUGAUUGCAGAUCCCUUAGGCGGCAAGUGGAGAAUAUGAUAAUCAGAGGUGAGCUGACAAACUACCUCAUAACAAAGGAGUACGUGAAGCCUCGGGAGGCCAACCCUCGGAGAAUAGAAGGUAAUCAAGUAAAGGUCAUCCAUGCAAUACAUGGGAGAUUAGAAGACGACCAAGAAUCAGAAGAAGUAUAUAGAUCCAGGCUAAAAAUAGCCCACAAGCUAAGAAAGUUAUCCUUGGCGAACACUAUCACCUCGGGCAGCAUCAGUAUUGGGUUCGGCGAUACGGAUUUAUCCAGGGUUCAACUCCCUCACGAGGAUCCGCUAGUCAUCAGCCUUCUGGUGGCAAACUGCUUGAUCAAAAGGGUUCUGAUAGACCCGGGUAGCAGUGCCAAUAUUAUCACAAAGGUGGUCUUUGAGCAGCUAGAGAUCCCGUCAUCAUCAAUCCGGUCCACCUCCAGUCCCUUAAUGGGGUUGGAUGGAACGAAGGUAGACCCCUUUGGGGUUAUUGAUCUAUUUGUCACUAUGGCGAAAAGAAUAUUGAAAGAGAAAUUUGUUCUAACAGAGAUACAUCCUUCUUAUAAUCUCAUUAUGGGAAGAGGUUGGAUCCACCGAAUGAACGGGGUCCCGUCUACCCUUCAUCAAGUGAUGCGAUGCAUGUCUCCGGACGGUAAGGAAGUUAUUAAUCUUUGGGGAGAUCAAGUCACUGCCAAAGAAUGCUAUAUGUUGACACAGAAUAAGGCAAAGAAGGUAGUCAAGUAGUUCCAACCAGUUGCAACUCUCGGAAGCAUGUCCAAAUAGCAAUUACAGAAUCCUCUGCCCAAGUAUUUGAAAGCGGAGGAUGAAGCUAAAGCUACAAAGCCUACCGAGGAAUCUCGCAAAGCUGUUGAAGUAAUCCUCGGCAAUCACCUAUAUAGGCUCUUCCUCCACAGCCGAAGAAAAUGAAGCAUUAAUUGAUGUCAUUCGACGAAACGCAGAUGCAUUUGCUUGGGAUCAUUCAGAUAUGGUAGGUAUCGAUCCUUCAGUCUCGUGCCAUAACCUGAAGGUGGAUCCGGCAUUCAAGCCAGUCAAGCAAAGACACAGAAAGUUCGCUCCUGAGUGCAAUCAAAUUAUUGCUGAAGAAGUAAACAAGUUGCUUCAGGCAGGUUUCAUCCGAGAAGUGCACUAUCCACAAUGGUUCUCUAACGUCGUAAUGGUUCAGAAGAAGAAUGGAAAAUGGAGGGUGUGCAUAGAUUUUACCAAUCUCAACAAAGUUUACCCCAAAGAUAGCUUUCCACUACCCAAAAUAGAUCAAAUAGUUGACGCUACAACCGGUUUUGAGAGACUCACAUUCCUCGAUGCAUAUUCCAGCUAUAACCAAAUCCCUAUGCAUCCAGAAGAUGAAGAGAAAACUCCUUCAUAACAGAGAAAGGCACCUACUGCUACAGAGUCAUGCCUUUCAGACUCAAGAAUGUUGGGGCAUCUUACCAAUGCCUUGUUAAUAAGAUCUUUGAUAAGAUAUUGGGAAAGACGGUCGAGGCCUACAUUGAUGACAUGGUAGUUAAAAGUGUGAAGAAGGAAGAACAUCCUAAGCACCUUCAAGAAGUCUUUAACACUUUGAGAAAGUAUAACAUGAAGCUGAACCCUUCGAAGUGCUCUUUUACAGUUUCUUUAGGGCAGUUCCUCUGCUAUAUUGUCAAUAAAAAGGGAAUCAUGGUAAGUCCGGCUUAGGCUCAGGCCCUAAUGCAAAAUCAGGAACCAAAAACUCACAGGGAAGUACAGGUUCUGACUAGCCGAAUUGCAACUCUUAGCCGCUUCAUCUCUCGAUUAUCAAACAAAUGCAAAUUGUUCUUUGAUACAAUAAGAUCCAAGAACAAAGAUAUAUGGGGACCUCAACAGCAAACUGCUCUUAACCAAUUGAAAUGUUACAUGGCUGAACCUCCAAUUCUAUCAGCUCCGAAGCCUGGCGAGACUCUUAUUAUGUAUUUAGCAAUCUUCUGCAUAGCCACAAGUGCAGUACUGAUCAGAGAAGAGGGGAAGAAUCAGUAUCUAGUCUUCUACACAAGUAAAACAAUGACAGAUGCUGAAAUACGAUACAACAAGGCUGAGAAGAUCAUACUAGCACUAGUGUAUGCAAAGAGGAAGCUUCGACACUAUUUUGAAUCACAUAUCAUCAUAGUCUUGACCAGCUACCCUAUGCGAGUUAUUCCUUCCAAGCCAGACUUAUCCGGAAGAAUAACUAAAUGGGCAAUCGAACUCAGUUCCUUUGAUAUAUCUUAUGAGCCGAAAGUGUCACACAAGGGAUAGGCAUUAGCCGACUUCCUUCUUGAGUAUGAAGAUAAGCCUGAAGAGCCAGACCCCCCUGAACCAUAAUGGGAGCUUCGGGUAGAUGGUUCCUCAAACCUAGCUAACACCGGGGCUGGAGUCAUUAUCAUAACCCUUAAAGGCAUUAGGCUGUAGCAGUCAAUCCGUCUGACUUUUCCCGCUUCUAACAACGAAGUCGAGUAUGAGGCCUUACUCGCUAGGCUUUGGUUAGCAAACCAGCUCCAGGAAGGUGUCUAAAGGUUUUUAGUGAUUCCCAACUUGUUGUGAAUCAGGUGACAGGCAAAUAUCAACCCAAAGAAGAAAGAAUAAAAGCAUACAAGGAGGCUGU